Molecule: long non-coding RNA, 296 nt
Filed under: Elaeis guineensis (African oil palm)
Lineage: Eukaryota; Viridiplantae; Streptophyta; Magnoliopsida; Arecales; Arecaceae
Description: long non-coding RNA (EGUI_LNC015837)
Source: RNAcentral
AAUAUCUCUAUCUCGUCUUGCUUGAUGGAGAAGAGACUAUCUUAUGUCUGUGGCACCUUUCGGUUAGUACUGAAAUGUGCCAUGAAAGAAUGUUCGAGCUGCUCGAAAGAAUUUAUGCUUCCCGACUGAAGUCUAGAAUAUCAAGCUCGAGUAGCCUUCCGAAUAGUUACCGGAAAGUCAAUAGAUAAGAGGGCAUCGGUCAUCUCCUGGAUCAUCAUAAGAGUCUUGUAACUCUCUAAAUGAUCAAUUGGGUUGGUGGAGCCGUUAUAUGGCUCCAUCUGCAACAUCUUGAACUG